This 207-nucleotide ribosomal RNA is filed under the name Glomus sp. (unid). Lineage: Eukaryota; Fungi; Glomeromycota; Glomeromycetes; Glomerales; Glomeraceae. The record is from RNAcentral.
CUAACAUAUAUGCGAGUGUUCUUGAAAGGGAAACGAUUGAAGUCUAACAUAUAUGCGAGUGUUUUUGAAAGGGAAACGAUUGAAGUCAGUCGUACCUGCGGGUAAUCAGCCUUUUGGGCAUGAUUCUGUGGAGUGUGGGGGAGCGUAAACACCCUCAUGGCCUGCAUAUUCGUGCUCUUGGGUGUACUUGCUCGUGUGGUUGGUAAC